This is a non-coding RNA of Stegodyphus mimosarum, 73 nucleotides long. Lineage: Eukaryota; Metazoa; Arthropoda; Arachnida; Araneae; Eresidae. The record is from Rfam.
GCCUUCGUGGUGUAAUUGGAAGUAUACUCGCUGAGUCUUCGAGAGGCUCAGGGUUCGAGUCCCAGCGAGGGCA